UUCAUUUCUUUAAAAAGGUAAUGAGCUGCAACUCACUAAAGUGAUGUCACUGCUGCCAUCACAAACAGAGUCCUGUUCUGACAGGACUUCUAUGCACGGCCUUGUCUUCAUUGAAGAUCCCUGAAAUUUGUCCUGUGGGAAGCCAGGGCUUGGGGACAUUGGAGGGAUAUGCCCGCUGCACACCUGAUGAAGUUGGGAGGAAAGUUCUAUGCCAGUGCACUUGCCUCCUCCAAGUUUCAUCAUCAUUCACCAAGUGACAACUUGGGCAUCGGGCCUCCCGGUCACAAAAGAAGCUGGUAUUGUGGUAUAGCUGGUGCCUGGCAAUGUGCGGCUUCAAUCCUGUUACUUUAGGGAGGAGAACAAACUUCGGUGGACGACUGGCAAUCUCUGAGCAUAGCAUCCUGCCAGGCCUAGAUGGAUGGCAGUGAGAGGACCUGUAACGCUUGCUGCCAAGGAGCUUACAUGCUGGUGGGAAUGAAAACGGGAAUCAAGAGAAAUAAUUACAAAACAUAAAAGUUCAUGAAGAGCAUGAAGAUGAUGUGAUAAGAACAAGAAUGAAGUCUACUAGACAGAGAAACCCAAACCUCAAGGUCCCUGGAGGGACAGUGGGUGGGUGUGCCUGAUGCCCAUCCAGAGAGUAGAGCUGGAGCAGAGAGUGAAAGGGAGAGACAUGGGCUGGGGAUUCGGAGGAAACAGGGCAGGUCUGAAGGACUGGUAGCAUUGGUGAGGCAUUCUCAUGGGGAAUUACAGUGAGAAGGCAGUUUACUGGAAAUGACAGAUUUUCAAAGAUUCCCUAGUGGCUGCCACAGGGAGAAUAUAG
Molecule: long non-coding RNA, 820 nt
Organism: Bos indicus x Bos taurus (hybrid cattle)
Lineage: Eukaryota; Metazoa; Chordata; Mammalia; Artiodactyla; Bovidae
Source: Ensembl